Molecule: ribosomal RNA, 253 nt
Filed under: uncultured bacterium
Lineage: Bacteria
Description: partial 16S ribosomal RNA
Rfam family: Bacterial small subunit ribosomal RNA
Source: RNAcentral
UACAGAGGGGGCAAGCGUUGUUCGGAAUUACUGGGCGUAAAGGGCGCGUAGGCGGCCUUCUAAGUCGAACGUGAAAUCCCCGGGCUCAACCCGGGAACUGCGUCCGAUACUGGAAGGCUUGAAUCCGGGAGAGGGAUGCGGAAUUCCAGGUGUAGCGGUGAAAUGCGUAGAUAUCUGGAGGAACACCGGUGGCGAAGGCGGAUCUCUGGGCCUUACCUGACGCUCAGGCACGAAAGCUAGGGGAGCGAACAGG